Molecule: unclassified non-coding RNA, 237 nt
Filed under: Hevea brasiliensis (rubber tree)
Lineage: Eukaryota; Viridiplantae; Streptophyta; Magnoliopsida; Malpighiales; Euphorbiaceae
Source: RNAcentral
GGAUUUGAACGACAAGUGCAGCUUCACCUUUCUUAGACCACCACAAACCAGCAGGGCAGCGGUGAGGCCAUCUGGAGUCAAGCCAGCCAAAUGCAAGAUGGUCAUGUUUCUCAAGCAAUUAAUGCUGGCUAGAGACAAUAGCCCGACAUCUGUAACCGAACAGUACGAUAAGUUUAUCUGCUUCAGGUUGUGAGAGAAUUGGGCGAGUGGAAGCAUUCCAUCAUCAUUUACAUUGAC